GUCGAACGAGCGACCCGGACUUCGGUCUGGCAAGCGAGUGGCAGACGGCUGAGUAACACGUAAGCAACCUUCCCAUGGGUGGGGAACAACUCCGAGAAAUCGGAGCUAAUACCGCAUGUUGUCUCUGACUGUAGGGUUUGAGACCAAAGCCUUCGGGCGCCCAUGGACGGGCUUGCGUCCCAUCAGGUAGUUGGCGGGGUAACGGCCCACCAAGCCAAUGACGGGUAGCCGGUGUGAGAGCACGACCGGCCAGAGGGGGACUGAGACACGGCCCCCACUCCUACGGGAGGCAGCAGCAGGGAAUCUUGCGCAAUGGGCGAAAGCCUGACGCAGCGACGCCGCGUGGGGGAAGAAGGCCUGCGGGUCGUAAACCCCUUUUCUGGGGGAAGAGAAAGGACGGUACCCCAGGAAUAAGCCUCGGCUAACUACGUGCCAGCAGCCGCGGUAAUACGUAGGAGGCGAGCGUUGUCCGGAUUUACUGGGUGUAAAGGGCGCGCAGGCGGCUAGGUCCGUCGGCGGUUUAAUCUCCAGGCCCAACCUGGAGGCGUCUGCCGAUACCACCUGGCUUGAGGGCGGUAGAGGAGCACGGAAUUCCUGGUGUAGUGGUGAAAUGCGUAGAUAUCAGGAGGAA
This 631-nucleotide ribosomal RNA is filed under the name uncultured bacterium. RNAcentral describes it as "bacterial SSU rRNA". It matches the Rfam family "Bacterial small subunit ribosomal RNA", at positions 61 to 706 of the family's 1533-position model. The record is from RNAcentral.